UACAGAGGGGGCAAGCGUUAUUCGGAAUUAUUGGGCGUAAAGAGCGUGUAGGCGGCCAGGUAGGUCUGCUGUGAAAACUCGAGGCUCAACCUCGAGACGUCGGCGGAAACCAUCUGGCUAGAGUCCGGAAGAGGAGAGUGGAAUUCCUGGUGUAGCGGUGAAAUGCGCAGAUAUCAGGAAGAACACCCGUGGCGAAGGCGGCUCUCUGGGACGGUACUGACGCUGAGGAGCGAAAGCGUGGGGAGCGAACAGG
Molecule: ribosomal RNA, 253 nt
Filed under: uncultured bacterium
Lineage: Bacteria
Description: partial 16S ribosomal RNA
Rfam family: Bacterial small subunit ribosomal RNA
Source: RNAcentral